GGGGGGGGGGGGGGGGGGGGGGGGGGGGGGGGGGGGGGGCGGGGGGGGGAGGAGGUGGCUCCGCUGGGGGUGGCGGCGGACGGGUGGGUAGCACGUGGGGAAGCUGGCUCUAAGCCUGGGCUCACUUCGGGAGACCGGCGCUAAUACCGGAUACUAUAUUGCAACGCAUGGUUCAAUAGUGAAAGCCGGUUUUGCUGUCACUUCUAGAUGGAUCCGUGCCGCAUUAGCUAGUUGGUAAGGUAACUGCUUACCCAGGCAACGAUGCGUAGCCGACCUGAGAGGGUGAACGGCCACACUGGAACUGAGACACGGUCCAGACUCCUACGGGAGGCAGCAGUAGGGAAUCUUCCGCAAUGGGCGAAAGCCUGACGGAGCAACUCCGCGUGAGUGAUGAAGGUCUUCGGAUCGUAAAACUCUGUUAUUAGGGAAGAACAAAUGUGUAAGUAACUAUGCACGUCUUGACGGUACCUAAUCAGAAAGCCACGGCUAACUACGUG
This 497-nucleotide ribosomal RNA is filed under the name uncultured bacterium. Its description in RNAcentral is "partial 16S ribosomal RNA". It matches the Rfam family "Bacterial small subunit ribosomal RNA", at positions 38 to 507 of the family's 1533-position model. The record is from RNAcentral.